UUGAACUGAAGAGUUUGAUCCUGGCUCAGAUUGAACGCUGGCGGCAUGCCUUACACAUGCAAGUCGAACGGCAGCACGGGUGCUUGCACCUGGUGGCGAGUGGCGAACGGGUGAGUAAUACAUCGGAACAUGUCCUGUAGUGGGGGAUAGCCCGGCGAAAGCCGGAUUAAUACCGCAUACGAUCCACGGAUGAAAGCGGGGGACCUUCGGGCCUCGCGCUAUAGGGUUGGCCGAUGGCUGAUUAGCUAGUUGGUGGGGUAAAGGCCUACCAAGGCGACGAUCAGUAGCUGGUCUGAGAGGACGACCAGCCACACUGGGACUGAGACACGGCCCAGACUCCUACGGGAGGCAGCAGUGGGGAAUUUUGGACAAUGGGCGAAAGCCUGAUCCAGCAAUGCCGCGUGUGUGAAGAAGGCCUUCGGGUUGUAAAGCACUUUUGUCCGGAAAGAAAUCC
Molecule: ribosomal RNA, 454 nt
Filed under: Burkholderia sp. MSMB1459WGS
Lineage: Bacteria; Pseudomonadati; Pseudomonadota; Betaproteobacteria; Burkholderiales; Burkholderiaceae
Also listed under: 1 other name
Description: bacterial SSU rRNA
Rfam family: Bacterial small subunit ribosomal RNA
Source: RNAcentral